GACGGGGGGGGCAAGUGUUCUUCGGAAUGACUGGGCGUAAAGGGCACGUAGGCGGUGAAUCGGGUUGAAAGUGAAAGUCGCCAAAAAGUGGCGGAAUGCUCUCGAAACCAAUUCACUUGAGUGAGACAGAGGAGAGUGGAAUUUCGUGUGUAGGGGUGAAAUCCGUAAAUAUACGAAGGAACGCCAAAAGCGAAGGCAGUGUCCUGGGGAGUACCUGACGCUCAGGUGCGAAAGCCAGGGGAGCGAACGGG
RNAcentral lists this ribosomal RNA (251 nucleotides) under uncultured bacterium. RNAcentral's name for it is "partial 16S ribosomal RNA". It matches the Rfam family "Bacterial small subunit ribosomal RNA", at positions 524 to 776 of the family's 1533-position model. The record is from RNAcentral.